AUAGGGCGGGUCGUUUAGAUUUCUUUGUGUUUUGCAAACAUGCUUUUGAAAUUCAAUUUAUUUUCGGGAAAGGAGGAGGAGCGAUGAAUUUUGGGUUUUUAAUUUUUAUUAUGUCUAUUUUAAAUAGAGGUCAUGUAUAAAUUCGUAAACGACUUUAAUAGCUCAUAACAUACACUAAAUUACAUAUAAAACGUGUAUAUUCCAAUAAUAUUGUAAUACCUUGUAACAUUUGACGUUUUCUUUAAUGGCUGAAAUUGACUAUUAACUAACUCCAAAUUAUUUUACUUUGAGUUAGAUUUGUAGGAAAUCCCAAUAUAUAUUAACCCUAAAUAAUUCCUUUUACUAACUUUUAUCAAACGAAACUCCCCUAUUUUAUAACAUAUAACAAACAACCCCAUCAUUUGGUGUUCCCGUGAUUCCGUCCAUCCAACGUCGAACUUGUUUUGCCAGUAGUCACAUGGCCACAUGGCCAGUCUGUGUAUCAUCAUCUAUUCCGAGCCAUUCAUGGGAGUCGGCCAUUGUCAAAAACAACCUUUGAUUUGCACAGUUCAAUGCAAAGUACAGUAAAGCAACUAAAUUAAGGAAUUAAGAGUCAGAAUACAACCCAAUGGAAAGUUAACACAGGAAAUCACAUAUCUAUGGUUCUGCAGGUCUUAUAUAUGGUGAAAUUUUGAUUGUUUUGUAACAUCGGGCCGGAUACAUGGUUGAAUCCAACUUCCCCUUUACAGGGGAUGAAGGACAAAAGCUGGAGAUCAGCAGGACUUUCCACAGCAGUAACAGGCCAGGGCCACUAUCAGUAUCAGCAGUAUCAUUGGUACCGAUAUCAUGAACACAAACCCCAUCCUUAUUGUUCUUCUAGCUAGCUAGGUAAAAACCUGCAGUUACAGUACAUCGGCCAUAUGACAGGACAAGAAUCAGACAGGGCGGGUGGAUCAUAUAUGGAUUAUUAGGAGCAGAGGAACAGAGCGUUUCAAACAAAAAGGACAGUUUACUAUCAUCUGAUGAUGAUCGGAAAACGUGCUCUAAAUGCUAAUCAUCCUUGAGAAAAACAAUAAGUAGAUAAGGCUUGAAGAAAAGAGGAGAAAUCCAACAUUUAGUUAACGCACCUGUAUAUUCAAGUUGCGGUUGGUAGAUCCGAAAUAAGAGCAACAGUACUGCCGGCAGUGUGAUCUACCGGUUCAUAAAACGCCACUGAUAGUAGUAAGUAGUCAGCCAAGGAGCGCGGAUCUUGACCAGAAAUGUGUAUGCCAGAAGAAGAUGAUAAAUGGGAGGGCGAUUAAUAAAGGCUCAUUUUUCUGUUUCUUUGAUUUACUUACUCUGCAAGCUAAAGAAAAAUAAUAAAGACGCAAGCUUUUGAAUUUCAGAGAUAAGAGGAGUUAGUGGGUUUGAUUAAAAGGUUGUUGUACAGAUAAUUGAAGCAAAAAGUCUC
This 1429-nucleotide long non-coding RNA is filed under the name Linum usitatissimum (flax). RNAcentral's name for it is "long non-coding RNA (LUSI_LNC006654)". The record is from RNAcentral. Lineage: Eukaryota; Viridiplantae; Streptophyta; Magnoliopsida; Malpighiales; Linaceae.